UGGAGGCUGGGCGGGGGAGUCCGGGAGAGGCAAUGGGGCCCCCCUGAGGGGCCAGGGGACCUCCUAGGAGAGAGAGAAGCCUCGGGAGGCAAAGCAGGCUGCAGAGGAGGAGAUGGAUUCGAGAAAUACUCAGCAGGUGGCUGAAAGAAUCAGGGACUUUGAUGUGGGAGGGCUAUAUUUGGGGAAGUGCCUCCAGCUCCAUUGGCCUGUAACAUAAUGGCUCACUGGUUAAAAACAAGGUCACUGUUAAAAAGGAAAAAACAGCCCUGAUUGUCGGGGUGGUGACUUGCAGGUGACUCAUGGAGCCAAAAAUCAAAGCAAUAAGGGUGACAGCAGGUGGAAACCAGGCAGGCGCCACCCCUCCCUCCCUCUCACCCUCUGGUUCACU
Molecule: long non-coding RNA, 388 nt
Filed under: Sus scrofa (pig)
Lineage: Eukaryota; Metazoa; Chordata; Mammalia; Artiodactyla; Suidae
Description: lncRNA (ENSSSCG00005017212.1)
Source: RNAcentral